This 495-nucleotide ribosomal RNA is filed under the name uncultured bacterium. Its description in RNAcentral is "partial 16S ribosomal RNA". It matches the Rfam family "Bacterial small subunit ribosomal RNA", at positions 28 to 507 of the family's 1533-position model. The record is from RNAcentral.
GAUGAACGCUGGCGGCGUGCCUAAUACAUGCAAGUAGAACGCUGAAGGAGGAGCUUGCUCUUCUGGAUGAGUUGCGAACGGGUGAGUAACGCGUAGGUAACCUGCCUGGUAGCGGGGGAUAACUAUUGGAAACGAUAGCUAAUACCGCAUGACAACAGUUAUUGCAUGAUAACUGUUUAAAAGGGGCAACUGCUCCACUACCAGAUGGACCUGCGUUGUAUUAGCUAGUUGGUGAGGUAACGGCUCACCAAGGCGACGAUACAUAGCCGACCUGAGAGGGUGAUCGACCACACUGGGACUGAGACACGGCCCAGACUCCUACGGGAGGCAGCAGUAGGGAAUCUUCGGCAAUGGACGGAAGUCUGACCGAGCAACGCCGCGUGAGUGAAGAAGGGUUUCGGAUCGUAAAGCUCUGUUGUAAGAGAAGAACGAGUGUGAGAGUGGAAAGUUCACACUGUGACGGUAGCUUACCAGAAAGAGACGGCUAACUACGUG